Molecule: long non-coding RNA, 371 nt
Organism: Perca flavescens (yellow perch)
Lineage: Eukaryota; Metazoa; Chordata; Actinopteri; Perciformes; Percidae
Exons: 3
Source: RefSeq, a predicted model, not a curated record
AAAUAUGUUGUACUUUUCCCAUAUAAAAAAACAUCCUUUUAUCGAAAAUAUGGACAUACAGUGUUAUACUACCUCUUUGAUGGUGCAUGUGACACGUACUGCCUAAUCUACUGUUAAUAAACUGGAGAAAUGCAGCUAAAAUGUGUGACUAAUAUGAUAUAUGAUAUGACUUGCAGGAAGAAGAUUUGACAACCAUUCAUGGUCACUGUGACAGCCCUUUAAAUUCUUCAGCUGAUCGAGGGAUGAAUCCAUCUGGACACCAGAAUGAGGAAAUGGACCAGAGCUCUUCUAACUCUACAGUGAUCCUUGAACUAAGUUCCGUCCCUGAAAAGGAGGACAUAAGUGUUCCUGAACUCAAGAGAGCAGAAAGU